This is a long non-coding RNA of Lingula anatina, 426 nucleotides long. NCBI's taxonomy places the organism in Eukaryota, Metazoa, Brachiopoda, Lingulata, Lingulida, Lingulidae. The record is from RefSeq and is a predicted model, not a curated record.
ACAAAAGAAUGUAAAAAAAUGUCUACAACAAGAUAACAUAAUACUUUAAAAACAACAACUACAAAAAAUUCACUAUGGCCUAAAUCUCAAGACGUCUGUAUUUCCAUCUUUUUUAGUUGUCGUUGGCAUAGCAGGUGCAGCAAUCCUGAUAGCUGCCUCCAUUAUUGCUGGAAUAUGUAUAUUAAACAGGCGAAAGAAGAGAUAUGAAGAAGCCAGGUUGCAGUAUCUUUCACGUGCAGCAUCCCCCACAUCAGUGGGAAGUCAUACCUCGGGUUCUCCAGCAUAUAACGACAAGUUCUUCUUUGGUGGCAUGGAGAAAGGCAAAACUGUCAAAUUCAAAGGAGCCAAAGAAGAUUCAAAAAGAUCAAAGAAACAUUCUCAAAAAAAUGGAAAAGAAUCGCCCACCAAAAAUGGCCACCCACCUAA